Molecule: unclassified non-coding RNA, 748 nt
Filed under: Hevea brasiliensis (rubber tree)
Lineage: Eukaryota; Viridiplantae; Streptophyta; Magnoliopsida; Malpighiales; Euphorbiaceae
Source: RNAcentral
AAGUUUGUGGAGCCCAAUGUGAAGUUUGAACAUAAUAAGCUACUCAGAGCAUUAGAACAGUUUAUUUUUCCCAGGGAAUAGUUUAAAACCAAAGUUUAACACUGUAACAUCAGAAUUACCAACAAAAAAUUCAUUUGCUUUUGGCAUGUUUUUCAGCACCAAAGGGAAGGGAGCUUCCAACUCCAUGCUUGUUGUCUAGGCUACCAGGGCUAAUUUCAGUUUUCAGUCUCCUGGAAUUAUCCGAAACCACCUUUGACGUCAUAAAUGUGCAGCUUUCAAGACUGAUAAACAUCAGGAAGGCGGAGACCCACACUUGCAGCAGAUUUACCCAACACUUUUGUCAUCUCAUUGGAUCUAUCAACCGCAAUGUUGUAAGAAAAUAAUAGGUCCUUAUGAUGGUGGACACUGUUGAGAAGGUAAGUAUAAUUUUCGGCAAGCUUAAUUCUUUGUUGGAUAAAAGAAGAGUCUUUUGGGUAUUCAAGAUUUCUGUUCUUCUUGAACUCCUCUCUUAUGAAGUCGGUGAAAUGAACCUUGUGUUCUUCCUUCCCUAUAUGUUUUUCCACUGCUUUUAGUAGAUUUCUAUAGACCAUUCUUAAACCUUUAAAAGAACCCAUUUCUGCAAAAUCCCAAAUAACCAAUCUUACCUUAGAAAUUUAACCACUACUAUAAAAAUCCAAACAUUGGGAUGAUAAAAAUUGGGUAAGAACAGGAAGAAAAGAUCGCAAUUUUUGGACACUAAAGGAUUUAG